UCAAACUUAGGACCAAACUGAAUUCUACUUUCCACUCCUUAUUUCCAAGCCUUCUCCUCUACAACUUUCCUCAUUUCAAACCCCAAACUUUUAUGUCAUACCAUGUAACUAAUCCAACAGAAAAUCCUGCUGGACAUACCUUCAAAACACCCGAAUCUGACCACUUACUACUACCCUUACUACUUACCUGCACUGCCACACCACUCCCACCAUCAGUGUGAAGAUGGCCGAAGUGACGAGGCACUUAAGAUCACAGAGGGAGUAGUGGGAAAAGGCCCAGAACAUGAUCUCAAAGAAUUCCCAACAUGUCAUAUGGUCGGCACGACCAAGGGAUAUAUAAAGGAGACUAGGGAACAGGGAGGUAGGAGGCAGACCAGGAGAAAGCCAUAUGCUAAGAGUGAAGAGGGGAGGAAGAUUCCACACUAUCAAAUGGAGCAGAAAGUUCAAGAUACAGAUAAUGAGCCCAAAAUGAUGGAGCAUUGAGAGGGGACAAAACAAGAAACGCGAUUUCUGGAAAACAGCAGAUGGGAUACGACUGAGCUGGACAGAGGAACUGCAAUCCAGAGGGACUCCUAGUUGGGGUGCCAGUAAGAACAUGCUGACUGGUCCCACAGCCCGAACUCAGACGUGGAGGAACAAGAACUUCGCAGAGUGGCAUGUCUGAGUAGCACCAUGCUAGUGAAGCCUGCCACCUGCCAAACCCUGCCCACAAAGCUCUCGGCCAGUCUUCCGCGGUCCACUACUACAGGACAGACUGUCAAGACCAGUCAGAAACAGAAGGGAGGUCACCCACGAACAAGACAAGGAAACUAAAAUUCAGAAUAGUCACAGUAAUUGGUGUGAACAGAGUAGGAAAGAAAAGCAAUUAAUAUGUGUGCAUCUGUAUCCUAUUAUAUCCAGAAAAAUAACAUUUUAUCUUGAACUAAGGUUAGUAUAUUUUGAAAGUAAGAGAAAUAAAGGAUGUCUUAGAAAUUAAAAUAUUUUAAAAUAUAUGAAAAAUUCAAUAGAAAAAUAAUGCUGGAAGAUCAAAAUGAAGAAAUCAUCUAGAAAAAACAGAGACAACAGUGUCCAAACAAAUAGUGUCCAAAGGAAAGAGAAGAAAAUUAAGCAUCAGUCUUGGAGGUCAAUUACCUGACUAGGAUGGCAUCAUAGUUCUCAAAAGCAGAAGAGAAUGGAGCAAUGCCUUCAAAAUACUGGGAGAGAAUUAUUCUUUUUUAUUAAAGUAUUACUGAUAUACAAUCUUACAAA
This is a long non-coding RNA of Manis pentadactyla (Chinese pangolin), 1248 nucleotides long. RefSeq lists it as uncharacterized. The transcript has 3 exons. The record is from RefSeq and is a predicted model, not a curated record. Lineage: Eukaryota; Metazoa; Chordata; Mammalia; Pholidota; Manidae.